This 301-nucleotide ribosomal RNA is filed under the name uncultured bacterium. Its description in RNAcentral is "partial 16S ribosomal RNA". It matches the Rfam family "Bacterial small subunit ribosomal RNA", at positions 509 to 807 of the family's 1533-position model. The record is from RNAcentral.
CAGUAGCCACGGUAAUACGUAGGUGGCAAGCGUUGUCCGGAAUUAUUGGGCGUAAAGGGCUCGCAGGCGGUUUCUUAAGUCCGAUGUGAAAGCCCCCGGCUCAACCGGGGAGGGUCAUUGGAAACUGGGAAACUUGAGUGCAGAAGAGGAGAGUGGAAUUCCACGUGUAGCGGUGAAAUGCGUAGAGAUGUGGAGGAACACCAGUGGCGAAGGCGACUCACUGGUCUGUAACUGACGCUGAGGAGCGAAAGCGUGGGGAGCGAACAGGAUUAGAUACCCCAGUAGUCCCUGUCUCUUAUAC